CAGUCCCGACGGGGAAGAAACAGCAAGCAAAUAUCUGGAGGCUUUCUUCGUCAGGAAUCUUUGCAAAUAUGCCCUGUUCCUCUGUGGUCAUGGAGAUCUUUGGUUGGAUGCUGAUCAUCGGCAAAGGAACUGAGCUUGCAACUGCACAAGAGGUCUUCUCCUGCUAUUCACCAAAUGGGGAGUCUUGCUGCCCCUCUGCAACGUGGGAUGUCCCAAACACAACUUCAAGAAUUGGCUGUGCUUCCUUGUGUUUACAGUACCAAUGCGAAUGGUAUUUGUUUGCAGCUGGUGGGUGUCGCAUUCAGGGGAGAACCUAACCGUGCCUUCCAUUGGUGAGAAGACGCGGACGUUUCGGAGAGUGACGCACUUACCGACUUUGGUCAGUGUCGCUCAGGGAAAACCAACUAAGAGUGUGGCCUUCUG
Macrobrachium nipponense is the source of this 423-nucleotide long non-coding RNA. RefSeq lists it as uncharacterized. The record is from RefSeq and is a predicted model, not a curated record. The transcript is spliced from 3 exons. NCBI's taxonomy places the organism in Eukaryota, Metazoa, Arthropoda, Malacostraca, Decapoda, Palaemonidae.